AGACUUUGUCUGAAAGGAGUGUUAAACA
This 28-nucleotide non-coding RNA is filed under the name Cricetulus griseus (Chinese hamster). Lineage: Eukaryota; Metazoa; Chordata; Mammalia; Rodentia; Cricetidae. The record is from RNAcentral.